Molecule: ribosomal RNA, 301 nt
Filed under: uncultured bacterium
Lineage: Bacteria
Description: partial 16S ribosomal RNA
Rfam family: Bacterial small subunit ribosomal RNA
Source: RNAcentral
CAGUCGCCACGGUAAUACGAGGGGGGCAAGCGUUGUUCGGAAUUACUGGGCGUAAAGCGUGCGCAGGCGGUUCGUUAAGACAGAUGUGAAAUCCCCGGGCUUAACCUGGGAACUGCAUUUGUGACUGGCGAGCUAGAAUAUGGCAGAGGGGGGUAGAAUUCCACGUGUAGCAGUGAAAUGCGUAGUGAUGUGGAGGAAUACCGAUGGCGAAGGCAGCCCCCUGGGCCAAUACUGACGCUCAUGCACGGAAGCGUGGGGAGCAAACAGGAUUAGAUACCCGCGUAGUCCCUGUCUCUUAUAC